Molecule: unclassified non-coding RNA, 4732 nt
Filed under: Camponotus floridanus (Florida carpenter ant)
Lineage: Eukaryota; Metazoa; Arthropoda; Insecta; Hymenoptera; Formicidae
Description: histone-lysine N-methyltransferase, H3 lysine-79 specific, transcript variant X2
Source: RNAcentral
CGCCGGGUGCGUGAACGUUCACGAAGGGGGAAACGAUCGAGAGAAGGAAAAAAGAGGAGGAAAAAGCCGCGCGGCGGGUCUACGUUCGCGGACCGGAUGUGCUGCCGCGCUCGCGCGCACGGCAGAUGGAAGAGGCGCCCGACGCCAUGUUCGCCAUGUUUUGAUGUCGUCAUCCCGCUCUCCCUCUCCGCCCCUCCCCCCCCUCCGCGGACGUGUUACGCUGUGCAGCACAAUAGCCCGUCGUGUUUUUUAGCGUGUGUUUUUCCGUAGAUUCGAAACCGCGCGUUCCCGGUGGUUCCUGGUGGCUCGGCCCCUCGGUCGCGCGUUCUCCAGCACCCUCCCCGUUCGAUCGUAUGCACGUCGCGCGAGGCUGGAUAACCCUCCUCGUGGAAGAUUCGCUGGGCCCACGGAUGCCUUCAUGUUCGUGGAAGUAGCCGCGGGGGGGAUCCGCGAGCAUCGUCCACGCGGCAAUCGUGUCUCGGUGCGAGACGGGAGAAUCGAUCGGAUCGCCUGUCGCCAGUUACGUUAGCACUGCCUCUCUCUCUCUCUCUCUCUUUAUUUCGCAUCGACGGCGUCAACACACUUUGACGUUUUUCCCCUUGGCGUCAGCGAGACGUGGUUACAUCACGCCACCCUGAGGGGGCGGAUCCAGCGGAUCCCUCGGAUCCUAGCGGAACGGGCAGAGCGCGCCUCGCGUGCGUGCGUACGUACGUGCGUGCGAGCGUGCGUGCGUGCGUGCGUGCGUACGUGCGUGCGUACGUGCGCGCCUACGUCCUCCUUUCACGUCUUCUUCGUCACGAUUACACCAAGAGGCACGAGGAAAGGGAUUCGUUGGUAAAAUGGAGUUGCGCCUGCACUCGCCAGCAGGAGCGGAACCGAUCGUGUAUCAGUGGCCUCUUACCUCGGGAUCGGGGUCUGAUCGUCACGAUGGAGCAUUGGACGUUAUCGAAACUAUGAGAUGGGUUUGCGAAGAUUUGCCAGAUUUGAAAUUACCCUUAGAGAAUAAUAUCCUUUGUAACUAUGAUCCGAGAGAUUACGAAAGUAUGAAAAGCUUGUGUGACAGAUUCAACAGAGCGAUUGAUAGUUUAGUACAAUUGGAAAAAGGUACCAGCCUACCAUCCCAGAGACUAAAUAAGAGACCUAGUAGGGGUUUACUUCGACAUAUACUCCAGCAAACUUAUAAUCAAGCUGUGGUUGAACCAGAUAAAUUAAAUCAAUAUGAACCUUUUUCACCUGAAGUCUAUGGUGAAACCAGUUAUGAGCUUGUAUGUCAGAUGAUUGAUCAAAUCGAUGUGACAGACGACGAUGUCUUUGUUGAUUUAGGAUCUGGAGUUGGUCAAGUAGUUCUUCAGAUGGCAGCUGCAACUUUGUGUAAAAUUUGUAUCGGCGUAGAAAGAGCUGAUGUACCAUCAACUUAUGCACAGAGCAUGGAAGUAAAUUUUCGAAAAUGGUUGAAUUGGUAUGGAAAACGAUGUGGGGAUUAUCGUUUAGUGAAGGGAGACUUUUUAGCGGAUGAACAUCGUGAAAGUAUCACCGGAGCUACGAUAGUGUUUGUUAAUAAUUUUGCUUUUGGCCCGACAGUUGAUCAUCAAUUAAAAGAACGCUUUGCUGAUUUACGUGAUGGCGCACGUAUAGUAUCAUCGAAGUCGUUUUGUCCGUUAAACUUUCGAAUAACGGACAGAAAUCUGAGUGAUAUUGGUACAAUAAUGCACGUCUCAGAGAUGUCCCCAUUAAAGGGUUCUGUCUCUUGGACUGGUAAGCCGGUAUCGUAUUAUUUGCACGUAAUCGAUCGAACUAAAUUAGAACGUUAUUUCCACCGCUUGAAAAACAAUAAACAAGGUGGCUUAGAUGAAAACUCUGAUUCUGUGAUAAGCAACACUGCCAGCAAUAGUAGUAAGGUUUCUAAUAGGAACGAAAGAGGUGAUAGAGCCAAAAGAGACCUUUCAAGGCAAUUGGACAGUCCGAAUAAUUCGGAGCAGCAAGGAACAAAUAGCGACUCUGAGCUAGACGAAAAUGCUAUUAAAAAUCGACGACAGCCGAACAAAAUACGAAGGAAAUUCAAUAGAAAAACUUCAAACGGCAUUACGAGAGCUCCAGCUAGAGGUAGACAGAGAGGAAGAGGUGUUAAGAGAGCCAAGCCUAAGAAGACGAUCAAUAUAUCUGGAUUAGAUCUGUUACAUAGUCAAACUUUGCUCAGUACAUCACCUCAAGCUCUUGGGAAAAAACCUCCACCUGCUCCUGGUUGUGUAGAUCAACAAUUAUCUUCAUUGACGCUUUCUUUACAGUCGCAUUCCACCUCGGUACACGAGGAACUCAGUAUACCAUCGGCUCCGUCCGCGACUCCUUAUGCUCUGCAAAUUCUUUUGGACUUGUAUAGGGACCAAUUCAUGCUCAUGUUAGAAUCAAUGAGAACACCCACCUACAAAGUAUCUGUUAAUACGGAUAUCGCGAAAGAGAGAGAAAGGAACUCUAAACUUCAAUCGAGAGCGGCGCAAUUGGAAAAGCAAAUUAAAGUACUCAUAGAUGAUAGUGUAGCUCUCUUGAAGGCGAGAAUGACUGAAUUAGGUAUCAAUGCUACGUCACCUGGGGAUCUGCUAGCGAAAGCUAAGGAAAUAGUUCUAAGACAUAAACAACUACAAGCUAAAGCGAGUAAAUUGCAAGCACAAGUGGCGUCUAUAGAAACUGAACAAAGCAGAUUAGUGGCACUUAGACAUCAGGAGUUACAGGAAAAAUACAACGGAAAUGUGAACGGCAUAACAAAUCCACCUCAAUCACUUACUCAGGAUUAUAUAUUAAAAGAAAUUUCCGCCACACUUUCCCAGCGGAAACGAUUACAUUCUCAAGUUUCGAAAUUGGAACACGAAUUAAAUCUUUUGGAAAGAACAAGUAAUGAGAAACAAGUAGCUGCAAUUGCUCAGCAACAAAGAGAUAUGAUAGGAAGUAAACACUCGCAAAGUUUACAUCAUCAUCAACAGGGUAAUAAAAAUGGAACAACGCGAAAAAGUAGGGAAGGUCGUUCGAGAUCUCAAGAAUGGCCCGAUGUGCCAGAUAUAGGAAAGAUACAAGAAAAUAAUCCAGAAAUAUUGGCUCAGAAGAUUUUGGAAACCGGAAGACAGAUAGAGGCGGGUCGUAUUCCACACAGGCAGAGUACGAAUGGCAACAAUAAUUCCAGAACUAGACUGCCACAAGCAUCUCUCAGUUUUUCUAAUGCAUCAUCCGCUAAUUCGUCCACGCCAUCACCACAGACAGUUAAUAAAGAUGCGAAUAGAACUCAAGAACCACCAAGAGUCGCUAAUUUUGAAGACAGAUUGAAAAGCAUAAUCACGAGUGUAUUAAACGAGGAUCAACAAAAUAGGACUAAGCAACAACAGAUGCAGCUACAAGUGCAAUUGCAAAGUCAAUCUGAACCCGACAGAAAGCGCGCUCCAUUGCCGCAAAGUGUCUCUACUCCGGAUUAUACUCAAGUUUCACCUGCGAAACUAGCACUUCGUCGUCAUCUCUCGCAGGAACGCAUCUCGUCAUCUCAUUCGACAUCGUCCGACAGAUCAACGGUCGAUUCUAGACAAUCAUCGAGUCACGACAAUCGACUUGUAACUAGUGGAAGUGGAUUGCUCGUCUCUACGGUCGGUGAACUCAUGAAUGGAGAAAUAGAAAGGACUUUGGAAAUAUCCAAUCAGUCUAUAAUAAACGCUACCGUUGACAUGAGCUCAAUAAUAAGACCAGAAACUGUAUACUCUCCUAUUAGUAGACCAGCGAGUGCCGAAGGAGACGCCGGUUUGUCGACUUUGGCACAUGUAGCUAGUUAUGUGCCUACUUCGGGAACUUCCACUUCCACGCCCACAACUAGUUCAAGAUCGUCCGUACUUUUUACUCCAGUAACACAACCGCAAAGAUAUACACCGGUCCAAUUACCACGAGCAGACAUUAAGCCUUAUCAUGAAUCCUAUUUUUCGGAUAAUCCCGCUCAGUCACUCAAUCAAUCUCACUCGGCGCCCCUACCUCUACAUUCGUCCCAAACUACGUCAAAUGGGGAAUUGUUGCCCGUAGAAGGGCUCGCAGCAUCAUUACAUGCCCGAAUAUUGAACAACCAUAAUAAUAGUGGCAAAACCGAAUCGACCCUUUCUAACAAUACAAGAUUUCAGCCAUAUCCACGAUACGCAACGAACAGUAAUAGUGGCAAUGCAAAUACGACAAAUGCAAAUGCAGUAACAGCAAUUUGUCAAUCGCAAACAUCAAUGUCCAUAAAAACGGAAGCGGUUGUAUCAUCGGUAAGCACAAGCGGAGCGCCCCUAAGUCCUCUCGUGGAGCCGCAUUCUAAUACGUCGACGCCGUUAGUCGACGAACCUCAAAUGACGACGCAGAGGCAACGAAAUGUCGUUGGAGAUGACGAUGCACUGUAGCUGUUUAUUGGUUAGUUCUCUCUGUCACAUACUCAAUCUCAGAAUCCCUGAAGCUUGUUUUAUUAGAGAUUGAGACACACACACAGAUCACAGAGAAGGGAGAAAUGAAAAAAUACACGGCUGCCUGUGGGUUGGUUCGUCGGUACAUUGUCGCCGAUGGAGAAGCUGAUUGGCAGGAUCGUAUUAGUUCAGGAUUUGAUCGCUUGGUCGCCUUUGCUUCCACAGAAUUGGAUAAACGUAGACGAUCGACGGAAGGAGUGAAUACUAGUCCCGAUAGUGGACUAGGUUCGGAUAGCGCUGUAACGGGACCACCGCCUGUAGUACCUUCGCCC